CCCUAGUAACGGCGAGUGAAGCGGCAACAGCUCAAAUUUGAAAUCUGGGUCUUUUAGGCUCCGAGUUGUAAUUUGUAGAGGGCGCUUUGGUGUUGGCUGCGGUCUAAGUUCCUUGGAACAGGACGUCACAGAGGGUGAGAAUCCCGUACGUGGUCGACAGUCUUCACCGUGUAAAGCCCCUUCGACGAGUCGAGUUGUUUGGGAAUGCAGCUCUAAAUGGGAGGUAAAUUUCUUCUAAAGCUAAAUAUUGGCCAGAGACCGAUAGCGCACAAGUAGAGUGAUCGAAAGAUGAAAAGCACUUUGGAAAGAGAGUCAAAAAGCACGUGAAAUUGUUGAAAGGGAAGCGCUUGCAAUCAGACUUACCUGUAGUUGCUCACCUAGGCUCUUGCCUAGUGCACUCUUCUACAAGUAGGCCAGCAUCAGUUCAGGCGGUUGGAUAAAGGCCUCUAUCACGUAUCUUCCUUCGGGAUGACCUUAUAGGGGAGGUGUAAUGCAACCAGCCUGGAUUGAGGUCCGCGCAUCUGCUAGGAUGCUGGCGUAAUGAUUGUAAGCGGCCCGUCUUGAAACACGGACCAAGGAGUCUAACAUCUAUGCGAGUGUUUGGGUGUCAAGCCCGGGCGCGCAAUGAAAGUGAACGGAGGUGGGAACCUUAGGGUGCACCAUCGACCGAUCCUGAUGUCUUCGGAUGGAUUUGAGUAAGAGCAUAGCUGUUGGGACCCGAAAGAUGGUGAACUAUGCCUGAAUAGGGUGAAGCCAGAGGAAACUCUGGUGGAGGCUCGCAGCGGUUCUGACGUGCAAAUCGAUCGUCAAAUUUGGGCAUAGGGGCGAAAGACUAAUCGAACUAUCUAGUAGCUGGUUCCUGC
This 863-nucleotide ribosomal RNA is filed under the name Nigrograna coffeae. RNAcentral's name for it is "Nigrograna sp. LL-2022b partial large subunit ribosomal RNA". It matches the Rfam family "Eukaryotic large subunit ribosomal RNA", at positions 78 to 961 of the family's 3401-position model. The record is from RNAcentral. Lineage: Eukaryota; Fungi; Ascomycota; Dothideomycetes; Pleosporales; Nigrogranaceae.